This 465-nucleotide ribosomal RNA is filed under the name Vreelandella stevensii. RNAcentral describes it as "partial 16S ribosomal RNA". It matches the Rfam family "Bacterial small subunit ribosomal RNA", at positions 338 to 795 of the family's 1533-position model. Lineage: Bacteria; Pseudomonadati; Pseudomonadota; Gammaproteobacteria; Oceanospirillales; Halomonadaceae. The record is from RNAcentral.
CCUACGGGAGGCUGCAGUGGGGAAUAUUGGACAAUGGGCGAAAGCCUGAUCCAGCCAUGCCGCGUGUGUGAAGAAGGCCUUCGGGUUGUAAAGCACUUUCAGUGGGGAAGAAAGCCUUGGGGCUAAUACCCUCGAGGAAGGACAUCACCCACAGAAGAAGCACCGGCUAACUCCGUGCCAGCAGCCGCGGUAAUACGGAGGGUGCGAGCGUUAAUCGGAAUUACUGGGCGUAAAGCGCGCGUAGGCGGUCUGAUAAGCCGGGUGUGAAAGCCCCGGGCUCAACCUGGGAACGGCAUCCGGAACUGUCAGGCUAGAGUGCAGGAGAGGAAGGUAGAAUUCCCGGUGUAGCGGUGAAAUGCGUAGAGAUCGGGAGGAAUACCAGUGGCGAAGGCGGCCUUCUGGACUGACACUGACGCUGAGGUGCGAAAGCGUGGGUAGCAAACAGGAUUAGAUACCCUUGUAGUC